GAUGAACGCUGGCGGCGUGCUUAACACAUGCAAGUCGAACGGGAUCCCAGGAGCUUGCUCCUGGGUGAGAGUGGCGAACGGGUGAGUAAUGCGUGACCGACCUGCCCCAUACACCGGAAUAGCUCCUGGAAACGGGUGGUAAUGCCGGAUGCUCCGACAUGACGCAUGUCGUGUCGGGAAAGAUUCAUCGGUAUGGGAUGGGGUCGCGUCCUAUCAGCUUGAUGGCGGGGUAACGGCCCACCAUGGCUU
Molecule: ribosomal RNA, 249 nt
Filed under: uncultured Actinomycetes bacterium
Lineage: Bacteria; Bacillati; Actinomycetota; Actinomycetes
Description: uncultured actinobacterium partial 16S ribosomal RNA
Rfam family: Bacterial small subunit ribosomal RNA
Source: RNAcentral